CCCAGAGCGCCCAGCAUUACCCAGCUGGCAGGUACUAAACUAUGUCGAGAGCAUCAUCUAGUCUAUUCCAGCAAUGAAAGAAUGUGAUAUUUCUGAAAAUACCUUGGGAAUAAUGAUGACACUGCUAAGCUAAUUGUAUUUCCCCAGGGUGCCUGACAUCAGUCUGGUGCAGAGAAACAGUUGAAAAAGGGCCCCUUCGUGUUGGCUGUCCUCUACUCACUUCCUUUCCCCCUGAGUAAUGAUGGCCAUGUCCUUUUCUAUUACAAAUUACAUGAUCCUGAGGUAAUUGUUAAGUGAGAAAUUGCAUGAUUUGUUUUCUCUAGGAACAGUGGCUACCUCUGCUCCCACCCUCCAACUUCACAUUCCUUGCCUUUCAAAGUCAGUCACCCUUCUCCUGGCCCAUGCUUUCAAAAAGAACAAGAUGCAUUAACAGCAAGAAGAGACAAGAUGGGAACUUUCUCAUUGACCUAGGUCAUCAGUCUUUCUGAACAAUUAUUGCUAUGGCGCUAUACCAUAUAGGAACCCAUUCCUAAAGGCCCCCAAGCGAAAAUGAUCAGAAUGGAUAAACUCCUUCGGGGGCCAGGCAUACUCUCAUGUUAUUAUACGUAUUCAAACAAAUGUAUUAUUUCAACUUCACAGUUCUUGGUCAGUGAUUUUUCAGGCUUUUAUUCUAGUGACCGAAUUCCCAAUGAAAUCUUUAAGCUGAAACUCCAAAUGUAAAGUGGGUCUGCUUCUGUGGAAGCGGGGCAGCGGCCAGGGCGGAAUGGAGGUGGGAGAGAUUGGAGCGGGGAGGGCUCCACCUGCUCAGCCCGCCCUUCCUCUCCAUCCCCCAGGACUGCCCCAAUCCAGAGGCACCACCCAACUCAAAAAUGGUGCAUACCGCUGUUGCCAAGAAAAUGAGAAAUUCUAUAAGAAUAGUUUUCUCCACUCUCAGAAAAAAAUUGAGAAUUUAGGGAAAAAAUUAUUUUCUAAGAAAAAAUAAAUUACCCAAUUAACCAUUAAAGAGAUAGACCUCCUAAAAACACCGAUUACCUAAGAAGAAAUUGAGAAAUUUCCAGUUACCAUCUUAAGAUGUUCCAGGCCCAGAGAGAUGAAUGUUAUUAAAUAUUUGGGGAAUGAAAGCCUUUAACACUGUUUAAGUUAUUUCAGAGCAUACAGUGAGAAAGAUAUAUUCCAAAUUUCGCCAACCAAUCCAGCAUAACACUGAUGGCGAAACAUGAGAAACAGGACAGAGAAGGUACAAUGGAGAAAACCAGAGCCCCACCUUGCUCGUGUGAAUGUGUGUGUGUGUCUGUGUAUAUAUGUACAUAAUAGAAUUCAGCAACACAUUAAAAGAAUAAUAAACCAUACCCAGGUGGAUUUAUUUCAAAAAUGUAAAAGUGAAACAAUUUAAGAAUAUUUACUGGAAUAAUUCACCACAUUCAUAGGUCAAGGGAGGAAAAACGUGAUCAUUUCAAUAGAUUCCUCAAAGUUAUUUGAAAAGUUAAAAAUCAAUUUAUGGACUUUACAAAACUUCUAAUACAAUAGGAAAGCGUGUGUUAUUCUUUAAGAAAAUUAAAUCUAUGUCUCUAACAAAAACGUCUGCACCGGGCGAAUGAAGAGUGAGAUCAACCCAUUACAAUAGCAGCCAUUGAAUCAGAGAACAGAAAGAAAAUAGUGAAAAUAGAAGACAGGAGGGAAUAAUUUAUUAUUACUGAUAACAUAUACCGUUAAUUUUAUACCUGGACAAAACAGGAAAAUCAAUUGAAAAGCAAUUAAAGAAAAAAUAGAACUUGGGGGCCGGCCCGGUGGUGCAGCGGUUAAGUGCGCAGUUUCCACUUCUCGGAGGCCCAGAGUUCGCGGUUUGGAUCUCGGGUGUGGACAUGGCACCGCUUGGCAAAAGCCGUGCUGUGGUAGGCGUCCCACAUAUAAAGUAGAGGAAGAUGGGCAUGGAUGUUAGCUCAGGGCCAGUCUUCCUCAGCAAAAAGAGGAGGAUUGGCAGAGUUAGCUCAGGGCUAAUCUUCCUCAAAAAAAAAAAAAAAAAAAGUAGAAUUCAACAAAGAAGCUGGUUAUGAAAUUAACAUGCAAAAAUCAAGUUUUUCAUACAAAUAGUAACCAGGAGAAAAUAUAAUGAGGGAAAAUAGAAUUUAUAUAUUAGCAAUGAAUUGGAGGGGAAAUACCUAAGAAUAAAGUUAAGAAUCCACAAUACUUACGUGAAUAAAAGCAUAAUACUCUAUUGAGAGAACUCAAAGACAUAUUUGGAUAAAUUGAAAGAUAAAAGUUGGAUAAGAAAUCUCAUUAGUGUAAACUUCUCAAGUCCCCUAAAUUAACAUAGAAAUUCAAUGAGAUUCCAGUCACUGAGAAGUUAAUUCUAAUUCACAUAGAAAUAUAGCUAUAUAUUACAUAUAAUAUAAUAAUAUAGAAACACGUGUCAGAAUAGCCAGGAAUUUUGGGGGGAAAACCAAGGAGGAACUAGUCCUACCAGAUGCCAAAAUGUACAAAAGUACAGUAAUAAAAUGAAGUUAGUGUUGGUGGAGAAAUAGGUCAUUGGAACAGAGUCUAGAAACAGGCCCAAAUACAUACGUCAUUUAAUAUGUGAGGGUCCACGUGCGGAUCCCUAGGCUACUGUCUCAGCUUCGGAGCCGUCCUGCGCUCGCUCGGCGACGCUGGGCUGGGACGCCGAGCGCGUCUCUCUCGGCCGGCCGGCUGCCCGCCGGUGGUGCCCGCGGGGGCGCUGGGGGAGAGCCGAGCGGGAGGAGAACGGGCGCCGGCUCCUCCGGGCUGCCUCCUGCGGCCGCCGCUGCUGCCCGCGAGCCCUCUGCCUCGGCGGCGAGUGGCCGCUGUUUCCCACGACAGCGAGUUCCAGCGACCUGCGUCUCUCCACGUUCUCAACCAGGCUCGCGUUCUGGGUCUGGGCUCCCUAAGGCCCUCGCCAAACACCGAGAGAAAUUCUAGAGGAAUCAAAGAUUAGCAUAUAAAAAAAUCUGACAGGUUGCAGAUGAGAGGAAGGGGUGAGGAGGAUUCCGAAAAAAUGGCAGUUUAUUGUGCAGAAGCCGUGGCGCUUCCCGACCCAGCCCCAGUCCCGCUGCUCUUCUCCUAAAACAAGCCGCCGCUGAGGCUCCACGGGCGCGGGCAGCGCCCCGGCUCAGUCACCGGCCCGACGAUGGAGCUGGGGUGGGAGUUCCUCCCUGUGCCGGAGGAGAUCCCGGCGACCAGCAUCAGAGUCCUGGGGCAGCAGAGCGGCCAGCGUGGUACCUACGGUCAGGUUGGGCAGUCCGCGGGCCGCAGGGCAGGGCGGGGGCCCCAGGUCACGGCCCGGAGGAGCCGGGGUCUCUCUGGCCUCCGGGUCGAGCUGACUCCUCUCUGUCCCUGAGCAGCGGACGCUCAGGCUUCACUAGCCUUGGCAGCACGGGGCCCGUUGGAGGACUCGUAGCUCGCGGGCGCUCACGCCGCAGUCCACAGGCCGACUGCGGGCCGGCCCUCCUCCCGGGACGGUGACGACGGGACGGUGACGACGGCCGGGAGAGCGCCAGCGGCAGGGAGCCAGCGCGAGAGCCAGAGAAAGAGUCUCCUAGAGUCCCCGAACCGCUGGAGGGACAGACACGUGCCGGGAGCGCUCCAGGGUUCAAGUCCAGCCCUGGAAAGUCUUCCCGAUGAGAUGCGGAUGAACGCUCGCGCCUGGUGACGUCAGCUAAGAGAGAACGCAAAGACACAGUCACCAGCUUAUUACUCGGCACAGCAGUUUCUAGUCGGAGAACAUCACAUGGAAGGAAGAGGAGUGGCUGCCGCGUGGGGAUGAACCCGAAGCACACUGCGCAGUGGAGGAAGGAGGAGGAAGGAGGAGGAAGCAUGUCCCGUGACUCUGAAGUUUGGAUGCAAGAUCACCGUGAACCCCCUAAAUGUUGAGAAAUGGUUGAACGGUGCGGAAAGAAGGCCAUGCCUUCCAAAGAACCCCUUCUCCGCCAGCCCCCCCACUACCAAGUCUUUCUUCCUCCUUCCUUCCUCCUUCGCAGCAAGGUUUUCAGGAGAGAGCUGACAUCUUUAAGGGAAGGAUAGGUGCAUUUUUUGGAUUAGCGAUGCUCUCUGCGGAGUACAGAUGAAGUCGCAUUGCCUCAUGGAGCUCAUGGCUACUAUCUUGGGAACCAACUGAAGCAGCUGGAGAAUUGAAGUCGUUGGCAUUCAUUGGACCGUCUCCAUUCCUUGCUGUAGACAGAAAGACACCGUUCUCAACGUGUUGAGUUUGUGAUCCUAGGGACCAAGCUUUGGCCUUUUACCACUAAGAUGAAAUGACUACAGACCCAUUGACUAAGGACCACAAAGGCUCACGUAAACAUAAGGAAAAGGGUGUGUAUCACUAAGGAUUAGGUUUAACUAAAAGGCAGACCUCCAUGGUAACACUGCUGACUUAAGACAGUGGUAUAUUUCUCUGUCUUGUGUAAAGGUCUGUAAGGUAAGUAAUCCAGGGAUGUUGUAGGAUCUCUAUUCCUCUAAGUCUCCAGGAACUCAAACUCCUUCUGGCUUGCUGCUUUACCAUCCCACUGGUGUGGUCCUUAUCCUCAUAGUCCAAGAAGGCAGCUAGAGCUCCAGCUCUCUCACCACAUUACAAGCAGUGGGAUGGAAAGAGUGACAGAGAUGAAGGGGAGCAUGAUGGUUGAGAUUAUGUGUCGACUUGACUGGCCGUGGGCUGCCCAGAUUAAACAUUAUUUCUAGGUGUGUCUGUAAGGGUAUUUCUGAAUGAGAUUGACAUUUGAAUCUGUGAACUCAGUAAAGUAAAUUGACCUCCCCAAAGUGGGUGGGCAUCAUCCAUUCUGCUGAGGGCCUGAAUAGAACAAAAGAUGGAGGAAGGAGGAGUUCGCUGGGACAUCUCCUCUCAUCUUCUGCCUCAGACUAGGACUGAUGCUAUUGGCUCCCCUGGUCCUCAGGCCUUUGGACUCAGACUGAAUUAUAUCACCGGCUUUCCUGCGUCUCCAGGAUCUGCAGACAGCAGAUUGUGGGGCUUCCUCGCCUCCAUAAUCGUGGGAGCCAAUUCCUCAUAAUAAAUCGCCUUUGAUGUCUAUGUAUCCUGUUGGUUCUGUUUCUCUGGAGAAUUCUAACUAAUACAGGAAGCAAAGGGCAUGUGUCAGGUGUCCUUUAAGAAAGGUUUCUAGAAGCUGUCAUGCUACAAUUCUGCUGCAGCCCAUUAGCUAUAACUUAGUCAUGUGGCCAUAGUUAAUUGCAGGAGGUGCUGAGAAAUACAGCCUUAAUUCUGGGCAACCAUGUGACCUAGUUAAAAACUGGGGAUUCUUUGAUUGUGGAAGAAAGGGCAACCAGAUAUUGGGGAGCAAUUAACAGUUUCUACCACAAAGUCCUCCAUAAUUCUAACUCUGCACUGUAUUGUGGCGGGGCUGGGGGGGCGUUGGGGUUUUUUUUCUUUGCUGGGGGAUUAGCCCUGAGCUAACAUCUGUUGCCAGUCUUCCUGUAAUUUAUAUGUGGGUUGCCACCACAGCAUGACUGAUGAGUGGUGUAGGUCCACACCCGGGAUCUGAACCUAUGAACCCGGGCCACCAAAGUGGAGCGCACCAACCUUAAUUACCACACCAUGGGGCCAGCCCAUGCAUUGUAUUGUUUUUAAUAUAAGAACUGCCACUUACUCCUAGAGAGCUCCAUUGCCUGUAGAAAUUUACUCAGCUACAUUAGGAGAAAAUAAAAGAGUCAACAAAAUAGUUUCUUGAAAUUUUUAUCUCCGUAUGUGUCUGUUGCCCAGCCUGUCUCAUGACAACCAGGGCAAUCUUCUCGAACAACUGCUAGCUCAAUGAAAGAGCUAUCAUAGGACUUUGAACUAUGGGCAAUAAAUGUUAAAUUUAGAUAUUGUGGCAUUACGAAUUUUUUGAUAAAGUGAUCAACUCAUUCUUCACCUUUAAUUCUCACUCACGUUCAUUUCUGAUGAAAUGGGCUGCAACCAAAUGUCCCUAAGUUAUUCUCGGGCUCUCUAAUAACGUUCCUGGUGAUGGCAUGAAACCCACUUUGGAGCAGAAUUGACUCCCCCACUAGUGAAACAUUUGCAUUCCUCCACUUCACCAGCUCUUGCAAAUAGGCCUCAAAGUGCAUUACCGAAUCUUCUGGUGGAAAAUCCCAAGUUUCACAAGGCAACUGGGGCUGAUGCUUUAAUUAAUCCCUUUCACCAAACUCGAGGACAUGCACGGGGGCUGCAGGAACCACCAAGUUCAAAGCUGGUUCACCAUCCGUUUGAAAAUACUGAGGCUUAAUAACAGUCUGACUCGUCCCACAGGUGUUAAAUGUCUGUGGUCAUGGCCCAUAGGGCUUGCUAAAGGCUCCUCCUCCACGCAUAUUUACAGUCCAGAUUCAGUUUGAGUAGGCCAUAACUCUAACGUUCCUCAUUGGUCUCUCGCCACUGCUCACCUCUAAGGGGACAGAGUUCCCACAGGAAGAGUCAGGUGACUUCACCUUCCUGGACUGUAACAGGGAUACUGGGGGCCAGCUUCUGUCCCUGCAGGUUCACUGCAGGCUUCAACAUCCGAGUAACACGGACUUGGAAAGUGCUGAGACCUCCAGAGCCCCUGUGUGGUUGGCUACACCUUGGGGUCUGACUCGUGGGACAGGCAGACGCUGUAUCACAACUGUAGGUACAAGGGAACAGCUUGGCCUACGUGCAUCUGGCCUGGAUGACCGUGAGACUUCAUUGGCGUGUUUAUCCUUGCUGCUGAUUUUUAUCAAAGCUAUUGUCACACCUUGCUUGUGGGUUUUGUUUUAUUAGCUACUCUCAACCAAAUGGAAUUUACGAUGUUUUUAAUAGCCAUAAUUAUCCUUGUUUAAGUCAUUUUAAGGCAGUGGCUUUAUAGUUUUAUGGGAUAUUUUUAGUUUAACUGAGAAGAGUUCAUGCUCUAAAUUGUUUAUAAAAAAAGAGAAAUUGAGGGGCUGGCCCCGUGGCCGAGUGGUUAGGUUCGCGCGCUCCGCUGCAGGCGGCCCAGUGUUUCGUUGGUUCGAAUCCUGGGCGCGGACAUGGCACUGCUCAUCGGGCCACGCUGGGGCAGCGUCCCGCAUGCCACAACUAGAAGGACCCACAACAAAGAAUGUACAACUAUGUACCGG
Long non-coding RNA from Equus asinus (donkey), 7068 nucleotides. The record is from Ensembl. NCBI's taxonomy places the organism in Eukaryota, Metazoa, Chordata, Mammalia, Perissodactyla, Equidae.